This 492-nucleotide ribosomal RNA is filed under the name uncultured bacterium. Its description in RNAcentral is "partial 16S ribosomal RNA". It matches the Rfam family "Bacterial small subunit ribosomal RNA", at positions 29 to 507 of the family's 1533-position model. The record is from RNAcentral.
AGUGAACGCUGGCGGUAGGCCUAACACAUGCAAGUCGAACGGCAGCACAGUAAGAGCUUGCUCUUACGGGUGGCGAGUGGCGGACGGGUGAGGAGUACAUCGGAAUCUACUUUUUCGUGGGGGAUAACGUAGGGAAACUUACGCUAAUACCGCAUACGACCUACGGGUGAAAGCAGGGGAUCUUCGGACCUUGCGCGAUUGACUGAGCCGAUGUCGGAUUAGCUAGUUGGCGGGGUAAAGGCCCACCAAGGCGACGAUCCGUAGCUGGUCUGAGAGGAUGAUCAGCCACACUGGAACUGAGACACGGUCCAGACUCCUACGGGAGGCAGCAGUGGGGAAUAUUGGACAAGGGGCGCAAGCCUGAUCCAGCCAUACCGCGUGGGUGAAGAAGGCCUUCGGGUUGUAAAGCCCUUUUGUUGGGAAAGAAAAGCAGCAGGUUAAUACCCCGCUGUUCUGACGGUACCCAAAGAAUAAGCACCGGCUAACUUCGUG